Pelobates cultripes (western spadefoot toad) is the source of this 220-nucleotide non-coding RNA. The record is from the annotation of a GenBank genome assembly. Lineage: Eukaryota; Metazoa; Chordata; Amphibia; Anura; Pelobatidae.
AGACGAUAGCAGGCAUUUUUAAUAAACAAAAUAUGUGUUGUUUUUUUUUGUUUGUUUACAGGAAGAAACGAGAAUAUCACAGAAGGAUGUGCAUUAGUAGUGCAGUAAAUGGAGUCUCCAAACGUUAUUAAACCUAUCAGCAUUAUGAAUUCUCAAUGUGGAAAGGUCACUGCAUAUCCUGAUUGUCCCACAACUUUAACCGUGUUCAAAAUUCUGUUAC